GAUGAACGCUGGCGGCGUGCCUAAUACAUGCAAGUCGAGCGAACAGAUAAGGAGCUUGCUCCUUUGAAGUUAGCGGCGGACGGGUGAGUAACACGUGUGUAACCUACCUAUAAGACUGGGAUAACUUCGGGAAACCGGAGCUAAUACCGUAUAACAUUUAGAACCGCAUGGUUCUAAAGUGAAAGAUGGUUUUGCUAUCACUUAUAGAUGGACCCGCGCCGUAUUAGCUAGUUGGUAAGGUAACGGCUUACCAAGGCGACGAUACGUAGCCGACCUGAGAGGGUGAUAGGCCACACUGGAACUGAGACACGGUCCAGACUCCUAAGGGAGGCAGCAGUAGGGAAUCUUCCGCAAUGGGCGAAAGCAUGACGGAGCAACGCCGCGUGAGUGAUGAAGGGUUUCGGCUCGUAAAACUCGGUUAUUAGGGAAGAACAAAUGUGUAAGUAACUGUGCACAUCUUGACGGUAACUAAUCAGAAAGCCACGGCUAACUACGUG
This 497-nucleotide ribosomal RNA is filed under the name uncultured bacterium. RNAcentral's name for it is "partial 16S ribosomal RNA". It matches the Rfam family "Bacterial small subunit ribosomal RNA", at positions 28 to 507 of the family's 1533-position model. The record is from RNAcentral.